RNAcentral lists this transfer RNA (92 nucleotides) under Bacteroidales bacterium. RNAcentral's name for it is "tRNA-Ser". It matches the Rfam family "tRNA". Rfam says of the family: Transfer RNA (tRNA) molecules are approximately 80 nucleotides in length. Lineage: Bacteria; Pseudomonadati; Bacteroidota; Bacteroidia; Bacteroidales. The record is from RNAcentral.
GGAGAAAUGGCAGAGCGGUCGAAUGCGGCGGUCUUGAAAACCGUUGUUCCGCUACCGCGGAACCGGGGGUUCGAAUCCCUCUUUCUCCGCCA